This 465-nucleotide ribosomal RNA is filed under the name Vreelandella stevensii. RNAcentral's name for it is "partial 16S ribosomal RNA". It matches the Rfam family "Bacterial small subunit ribosomal RNA", at positions 338 to 795 of the family's 1533-position model. Lineage: Bacteria; Pseudomonadati; Pseudomonadota; Gammaproteobacteria; Oceanospirillales; Halomonadaceae. The record is from RNAcentral.
CCUACGGGUGGCAGCAGUGGGGAAUAGUGGACAAUGGGGGGAACCCUGAUCCAGCCAUGCCGCGUGUGUGAAGAAGGCCCUCGGGUUGUAAAGCACUUUCAGUGAGGAAGAACGCCUGGUGGUUAAUACCCAUCAGGAAAGACAUCACUCACAGAAGAAGCACCGGCUAACUCCGUGCCAGCAGCCGCGGUAAUACGGAGGGUGCGAGCGUUAAUCGGAAUUACUGGGCGUAAAGCGCGCGUAGGUGGCUUGAUAAGCCGGUUGUGAAAGCCCCGGGCUCAACCUGGGAACGGCAUCCGGAACUGUCAAGCUAGAGUGCAGGAGAGGAAGGUAGAAUUCCCGGUGUAGCGGUGAAAUGCGUAGAGAUCGGGAGGAAUACCAGUGGCGAAGGCGGCCUUCUGGACUGACACUGACACUGAGGUGCGAAAGCGUGGGUAGCAAACAGGAUUAGAUACCCCGGUAGUC